AGUGAACGCUGGCGGUAGGCCUAACACAUGCAAGUCGAACGGCAGCACAGUAAGAGCUUGCUCUUACGGGUGGCGAGUGGCGGACGGGUGAGGAAUACAUCGGAAUCUACUUUUUCGUGGGGGAUAACGUAGGGAAACUUACGCUAAUACCGCAUACGACCUACGGGUGAAAGCAGGGGAUCUUCGGACCUUGCGCGAUUGAAUGAGCCGAUGUCGGAUUAGCUAGUUGGCGGGGUAAAGGCCCACCAAGGCGACGAUCCGUAGCUGGUCUGAGAGGAUGAUGAGCCACACUGGAACAAGGACACGGGACAGACGCCUAAGGGAGGAAGCAGUGGGGAAUAGUGGACAAGGGGCGCAAGCCUGAACCAGCCAUAUCGCGGGAGGGAAGAAGGCCAGCUGGUUGGAAAGCCCUUUUGUUGGGAAAGAAAAGCAGCAGACUAAUACCCCGCUGGUCUGACGGGACCCAAAGAAAAAGAACAGGCUAACUUCGUG
This 492-nucleotide ribosomal RNA is filed under the name uncultured bacterium. RNAcentral's name for it is "partial 16S ribosomal RNA". It matches the Rfam family "Bacterial small subunit ribosomal RNA", at positions 29 to 507 of the family's 1533-position model. The record is from RNAcentral.